Molecule: long non-coding RNA, 992 nt
Filed under: Monodelphis domestica (gray short-tailed opossum)
Lineage: Eukaryota; Metazoa; Chordata; Mammalia; Didelphimorphia; Didelphidae
Description: lncRNA (ENSMODG00000035043.2)
Source: RNAcentral
UAACACAUAUUAUGGUUCUCUAUUUUUUUAUCUCUAGAUUCACAAUGAAUUGUGUUUAUUGAGGUACAGUUCUGUGAUCAUCGACAGGAACUCUAAAAUAUGUUAGGGACAGGCGAGUCAACCUAUCUGAAAUACUAAAGCACUUUAAAUGAGACAUGGUAGGCAGCUCCUGAAGUAUUACCACCACAACUACUUCAACCACCAUCUCCCUUCAGAACCUCUUUGAGUUAGCCCAAGAACCUUGGUCAUAGUAGUGCCCUCCAGACUAGCUCAGGUCCCUUCUUACUUCUCCCUUCCCUCCACUCAUCAAGGAAGCAAUACUUAAUGAAAAGGGGCUUGCUAUCAUUAUCAACUGUUACCAAUGGGCAGUAAUCCAAGAGCAGAAAAGCAUUCUCAGGAAAAGACAAGAGGAGACCUCUGCCAGGUGGGGCAGAACUACCAUUCUAUCAUGCCAGGUCUCUUGACUCCUGUGGGAUGAGAAGAAAUGCCAUUCUCAUAUCAGUCUUUUGCCUUUAGGGUAGGGAGAGAAAAUGCUAUUCCAUUGUUCCAGGUCUCCUGCCUGGCUUCCAGCCUCCUGUGUGAAGAGGAGAAACACUACUCCAUCAUAUACCAGUCACACUUGUCUCCUGCUUGGUCUUCUGCCUUCUGUGGGUAGAGGAGAAAAUUCAUUUCAUCCAGACUUCUGCCUUUGGGGUGGAGAGAGCCUUUUGGGAUCAGUUGGCAGGGAAGCUGCAGAAUGUUUCCUGAAUUUGACGCUGGUUUUAUCUGUCUCCAUCAAAGGAAAUUUUGUCAUGGAAUAUUGGAGGCAGAAGAGACUUUAAUGAUGAUUUAUUCUAAACCCUUCAUUUUAUAGAUGCAGAAAUUGAGGUUCAAAGGUAUAUUGUCCUGAAGGUGAUCCAGUCCUAGAACUCAGAUCUCCUGACUUCAAAUUGAGGAUUUGGUCACCUAUCAGUGAAAGGGCAUAAUCUCAUUCUUGAAUUUUUGUAACUUUU